GAACGAGAAAGUGGAGCAAUCCAUGAGUAAAGUGGCGACCGGNGUGAGUAACACGUGACUAACCUGCCUUCGAGUGGGGGAUAACCUCGGGAAACCGGGGCUAAUACCGCAUAAUGCCGAGAGGUUAAAGGAGCAAUUCGCUUGAAGAGGGGGUCGCGGCUGAUUAGCUAGUUGGCGGGGUAACGGCCCACCAAGGCGAUGAUCGGUAGCCGGCCUGAGAGGGCGCACGGCCACACUGGAACUGAAACACGGUCCAGACUCCUACGGGAGGCAGCAGUGGGGAAUUUUGCGCAAUGGGGGAAACCCUGACGCAGCAACGCCGCGUGGAGGAUGAAGUCCCUUGGGACGUAAACUCCUUUCGACCCGGACGAUUAUGACGGUACGGGUGGAAGAAGCACCGGCUAACUCUGUG
RNAcentral lists this ribosomal RNA (412 nucleotides) under uncultured bacterium. Its description in RNAcentral is "bacterial SSU rRNA". It matches the Rfam family "Bacterial small subunit ribosomal RNA", at positions 64 to 507 of the family's 1533-position model. The record is from RNAcentral.